AAGACCCCGUGAACCUUUACUAUAGCUUGACACUGAACAUUGAGCCUUGAUGUGUAGGAUAGGUGGGAGGCUUUGAAGUGUGGACGCCAGUCUGCAUGGAGCCGACCUUGAAAUACCACCCUUUAAUGUUUGAUGUUCUAACGUUGACCCGUGAUCCGGGUUACGGACAGUGUCUGGUGGGUAGUUUGACUGGGGCGGUCUCCUCCUAAAGAGUAACGGAGGAGCACGAAGGUUGGCUAAUCCUGGUCGGACAUCAGGAGGUUAGUGCAAUGGCAUAAGCCAGCUUGACUGCGAGCGUGACGGCGCGAGCAGGUGCGAAAGCAGGUCAUAGUGAUCCGGUGGUUCUGAAUGGAAGGGCCAUCGCUCAACGGAUAAAAGGUACUCCGGGGAUAACAGGCUGAUACCGCCCAAGAGUUCAUAUCGACGGCGGUGUUUGGCACCUCGAUGUCGGCUCAUCACAUCCUGGGGCUGAAGUAGGUCCCAAGGGUAUGGCUGUUCGCCAUUUAAAGUGGUACGCGAGCUGGGUUUAGAACGUCGUGAGACAGUUCGGUCCCUAUCUGCCGUGGGCGCUGGAGAACUGAGGGGGGCUGCUCCUAGUACGAGAGGACCGGAGUGGACGCAUCACUGGUGUUCGGGUUGUCAUGCCAAUGGCACUGCCCGGUAGCUAAAUGCGGAAGAGAUAAGUGCUGAAAGCAUCUAAGCACGAAACUUGCCCCGAGAUGAGUUCUCCCUGACUCCUUGAGAGUCCUGAAGGAACGUUGA
RNAcentral lists this ribosomal RNA (762 nucleotides) under Escherichia coli. Its description in RNAcentral is "partial 23S ribosomal RNA". It matches the Rfam family "Bacterial large subunit ribosomal RNA", at positions 2085 to 2841 of the family's 2925-position model. The record is from RNAcentral. Lineage: Bacteria; Pseudomonadati; Pseudomonadota; Gammaproteobacteria; Enterobacterales; Enterobacteriaceae.